GAUGAAGAACGUAGUGAAAUGCGAUAAGUAAUGCGAAUUGCAGAUUUCAGUGAGUCAUCGAAUCUUUGAACGCACAUUGCGCCCGCCAGUAUUCUGGCGGGCAUGCCUGUUCGAGCGUCAUUUCAACCAUCAAGCCCCCGGGCUUGCGUUGGGGCCCUGCGGCUGCCGCAGGCCCCGAAAAGCAGUGGCGGGCUCGCUGUCACACCGAGCGCAGUAGCGAUUCUCGCUCCGGGCGUCGGCGGCGGGCACCAGCCGUGAAACCCCCCCACAUCCACAAGGUUGACCUCGGAUCAGGUAGGAAUACCCGCUGAACUUAAGCAUAUCAAUAAGCGGAGGA
This 337-nucleotide unclassified non-coding RNA is filed under the name soil metagenome. RNAcentral describes it as "partial contains 5.8S ribosomal RNA, internal transcribed spacer 2, and large subunit ribosomal RNA". The stretch from base 1 to 120 matches the Rfam family "5.8S ribosomal RNA", at positions 35 to 154 of the family's 154-position model. The record is from RNAcentral.